This is an RNA transcript of Triticum dicoccoides, 1473 nucleotides long. RefSeq lists it as uncharacterized. The transcript is spliced from 6 exons. Lineage: Eukaryota; Viridiplantae; Streptophyta; Magnoliopsida; Poales; Poaceae. The record is from RefSeq and is a predicted model, not a curated record.
UCCCUCCCGCGAUCCCCUCUGCCUCGCACGCAGCCACCGCUCGCCCUCACGCCGCCUCCGCCUCAGCUCGCCCUCGCGCCGCUGCCGCCUCUGCCCCCGCUCGCCCUCGCUCCGCUGUCGCCUUCGCCUCCGCUCGCCCUCAUCUCUGCUCAUUAGGAGGAGCGCGGCUCACCGCUGGACCUCGCGAGAGAGGUCAGGGUUAGGGUCUCGGCCCGGGGUGGCUACUGCGGAGCUCCUGGCGGGCUACCUGCUCUGCCUGCUCGCGCUUGCGGUGGCCAAGGCGACCACGCUGCUCUGGGUCAUGCAUCGUCGCUCCACUCCACGAUGCCAUGUCGCUCCCCCGCGCCUCCUCCCGGUCCUCCAGGAAGAAGAGGAUGCAUACGAAGUAAGGCUUUGGCUUUCCUCUCCUCCAAGUUCUUCCAGCAUGAGGCUGGAUGGAGUAGGAUUAGUUAGUGGAUCGGAUGCCAGAUGCGUGGAUGUGUGUUUGGGGGUUGCAAUCAGUCAGAUUUGUACUGUACUACUUCUGCUUGAACUCUAAAAUUCAGUAAGUUGCUCGGUACUGUGAGAACGUGGAGAUGUGCAGGCUCACAGAGUGGAUAAGUUGUAGAUUGUGUAUGGAUAAGUAAGAUAUGUGGCUGCUAGGUGCAGGUACACAAAGAUGAUGAGGUCAGAGCCUUGUUUAAGCAAGUGCAAGGAGAAGUCCCUGGAUUGCCUAUAAUCAUUAUGAAGGUGGCAUCUCAGGAACCUUCUAUUGAGUUGUUUUACUGGCUUAAUUUGGCCGCUCUUGAGCAUCCAGCAGCUCUGUAUCCGAAGACUGUCACCAUUUAUAAAUACUACGUACUUGUUGCUAUGUAAGAAAACCAUACAUCCAACAACUGCCAAUGGGGCGCGCCACGAUGUGUGUUGGCGGGCUCCAUUCUUUGCUCCAGGCAAGUCUCUUUUCCUGGUUAAAUCUUCAUAAUUGUUUAUGUAACCAAUUUAGGCUUUGAUUUCCUUAGCAAUGUGCACAUCAUGUGUUUUAUGCGAUGUACAACAGGAAUCAUUGUACUCGACGGUCUCUGUUUUCUAUAAGUGAGGAGCAUAACAUGGCUAUGGUAGAUUCCAUGUGUCAUGUUCUUGACCUAAAUAGUCCAUCGUUGGAACUGAUGUUCAUGCGAACCUUACCAUAAAGCUUAUGUUUCAGGUACAAGUAUGUUGGCUUGAGAAGCAUCAGAACUAAAGGUUGAAUAUAAGCAAGUGAAAUUCUAACAACCUCAAUAUUCUGUGAUGUCGACCUGGUGUCAUACUACUUAAUUAACUCAUUGUGUGCCAUACCCCUGGUCGUGAUGCCCAUGACUUCAGUCCUUGCUUGUGAUAUGUCUCCAACGUAUCUAUAAUUUUUGAUUGUUCCAUGCUAUUAUAUUAUCCCUUUUGGAUGUUUAUGGGCUUUAUUUUACAUAUUUAUAUCAUUUUUGGGACUAACCUACUAACCGG